Molecule: ribosomal RNA, 486 nt
Filed under: uncultured bacterium
Lineage: Bacteria
Description: partial 16S ribosomal RNA
Rfam family: Bacterial small subunit ribosomal RNA
Source: RNAcentral
AUUGAACGCUGGCGGCAUGCCUUACACAUGCAAGUCGAACGGCAGCACGGGUGCUUGCACCUGGUGGCGAGUGGCGAACGGGUGAGUAAUACAUCGGAACAUGUCCUGUAGUGGGGGAUAGCCCGGCGAAAGCCGGAUUAAUACCGCAUACGAUCCACGGAUGAAAGCGGGGGACCUUCGGGCCUCGCGCUAUAGGGUUGGCCGAUGGCUGAUUAGCUAGAUGGUGGGGUAAAGGCCUACCAAGGCGACGAUCAGUAGCUGGUCUGAGAGGACGACCAGCCACACUGGGACUGAGACACGGCCCAGACUCCUACGGGAGGCAGCAGUGGGGAAUUUUGGACAAUGGGCGAAAGCCUGAUCCAGCAAUGCCGCGUGUGUGAAGAAGGCCUUCGGGUUGUAAAGCACUUUUGUCCGGAAAGAAAUCCUUGACUCUAAUACAGUCGGGGGAUGACGGUACCGGAAGAAUAAGCACCGGCUAACUACGUG